Molecule: ribosomal RNA, 489 nt
Filed under: uncultured bacterium
Lineage: Bacteria
Description: partial 16S ribosomal RNA
Rfam family: Bacterial small subunit ribosomal RNA
Source: RNAcentral
AUUGAACGCUGGCGGCAGGCCUAACACAUGCAAGUCGAACGGUAACAGGAAGAAGCUUGCUUCUUUGCUGACGAGUGGCGGACGGGUGAGUAAUGUCUGGGAAACUGCCUGAUGGAGGGGGAUAACUACUGGAAACGGUAGCUAAUACCGCAUAACGUCGCAAGACCAAAGAGGGGGACCUUCGGGCCUCUUGCCAUCGGAUGUGCCCAGAUGGGAUUAGCUAGUAGGUGGGGUAACGGCUCACCUAGGCGACGAUCCCUAGCUGGUCUGAGAGGAUGACGAGCCACACUGGAACUGAGACACGGUCCAGAGUCCUACGGGAGGCAGAAGUGGGGAAUAUUGCACAAUGGGGGGAAGCCUGAUGCAGCCAUGCCGCGUGGAUGAAGAAGGCCUUCGGGUUGUAAAGUACUUUCAGCGGGGAGGAAGGGAGUAAAGUUAAUACCUUUACUCAUGGACGUUACCCGCAGAAGAAGCACCGGCUAACUCCGG